This 253-nucleotide ribosomal RNA is filed under the name uncultured bacterium. RNAcentral's name for it is "partial 16S ribosomal RNA". It matches the Rfam family "Bacterial small subunit ribosomal RNA", at positions 524 to 776 of the family's 1533-position model. The record is from RNAcentral.
UACAGAGGGGGCAAGCGUUGUUCGGAAUUACUGGGCGUAAAGGGCGCGUAGGCGGCCUUCUAAGUCGAACGUGAAAUCCCCGGGCUCAACCCGGGAAUUGCGUCCGAUACUGGGAGGCUUGAAUCCGGGAGAGGGAUGUGGAAUUCCAGGUGUAGCGGUGAAAUGCGUAGAUAUCUGGAGGAACACCGGUGGCGAAGGCGGCAUCCUGGACCGGUAUUGACGCUGAGGCGCGAAAGCCAGGGGAGCAAACGGG